RNAcentral lists this unclassified non-coding RNA (223 nucleotides) under plant metagenome. RNAcentral describes it as "partial contains small subunit ribosomal RNA, internal transcribed spacer 1, and 5.8S ribosomal RNA". The record is from RNAcentral.
UUUCCGUAGGUGAACCUGCGGAAGGAUCAUUAAAGAGAAUAUGCCCUUCGGGGUAGAUCUCCCACCCUUUGUUUAUAUUACCUUUGUUGCUUUGGCAGGCCCGUCUUCGGACCACCGGCUUCGGCUGGUCAGUGCUUGACAGAGGACCCAAAACUCUUAUUAUUAAUGUCGUCUGAGUAUUAUAUAAUAGUUAAAACUUUCAACAACGGAUCUCUUGGUUCUG